ACAUGGAAACGCAGGUUCCCGUACGAUCAGUGAAUUUAAGCAACAUCGUGCUUGAUCAGUACCUAAAUGAGUGACCUCCUGGGAAUAUCUGGUACUGUAA
Molecule: non-coding RNA, 100 nt
Organism: Acanthosepion pharaonis
Lineage: Eukaryota; Metazoa; Mollusca; Cephalopoda; Sepiida; Sepiidae
Source: the annotation of a GenBank genome assembly